This is a long non-coding RNA of Aedes albopictus (Asian tiger mosquito), 445 nucleotides long. RefSeq lists it as uncharacterized. Lineage: Eukaryota; Metazoa; Arthropoda; Insecta; Diptera; Culicidae. The record is from RefSeq and is a predicted model, not a curated record. The transcript has 2 exons.
CCCCUCAACUUCAUCAUUUUUUUGGAAGCAGAAAUACAGCGCCAUCAUCAGGCUUGCGAGAAAUGAUAGAAUUAAAAUAGUGGUACAAGUAUGCUUUGCUUUUGGUUGUUGUGGUUGUUAUUUACUUUCGUGUCACUUGGAAGGACCAGAGUCCUAGCAGGUUUUCUUGAUUACGUUGAGCCUAGAACGAAGGUCAAGGAGGAUCCAGCCGUGGUGAUCUUGGUGAUGACGCGCGAAUUGUUACGUUCGUCAAACCGCGGUUCGAUUACGUGUGACGAGGAAUAAGGCUCUGUGACGGAAUCUGUGUCUAUCAACCGUGCCAAAUAUGUCCGAGGGAUUUCGAAUUACGAUUUGCCGGGACAUUCCGGAGGGUUGCGUCUUUUGAGGACAAAACUAAGAUCCGAUAUUCUAAUUAGAUUUAUUUAAACACGAACAUUUAAAACAA